GACGAACGCUGGCGGCGUGCCUAAUACAUGCCAGUAGAACGCUGAAGGAGGAGCUUGCUUCUCUGGAUGAGUUGCGAACGGGUGAGUAACGCGUAGGUAACCUGCCUGGUAGCGGGGGAUAACUAUUGGAAACGAUAGCUAAUACCGCAUAAGAGUAGAUGUUGCAUGACAUUUGCUUAAAAGGUGCAAUUGCAUCACUACCAGAUGGACCUGCGUUGUAUUAGCUAGUUGGAGGGGUAACGGCUUACCAAGGCGACGAUACAUAGCCGACCUGAGAGGGUGAUCGGCCACACUGGGACUGAGACACGGCCCAGACUCCUACGGGAGGCAGCAGUAGGGAAUCUUCGGCAAUGGACGGAAGUCUGACCGAGCAACGCCGCGUGAGUGAAGAAGGUUUUCGGAUCGUAAAGCUCUGUUGUAAGAGAAGAACGAGUGUGAGAGUGGAAAGUUCACACUGUGACGGUAUCUUACCAGAAAGGGACGGCUAACUACGUG
Molecule: ribosomal RNA, 495 nt
Filed under: uncultured bacterium
Lineage: Bacteria
Description: partial 16S ribosomal RNA
Rfam family: Bacterial small subunit ribosomal RNA
Source: RNAcentral